GACGAACGCUGGCGGCGUGCUUAACACAUGCAAGUCGAGCGGUAAGGCCCUUUCGGGGUACGACGAGCGGCGAACGGGUGAGUAACACGUGGGUGACCUGCCCUCAGCUCUGGGAGUAAGCCUGGGAAACGUGGGUCUAAUACCGGAUAUGACUCCAUGACGCAUGUUGGUGGGGUGGAAAGCCUUGUGCGGCUGAGGAUGGGCCCGCGGCCUAUCAGCUUGUUGGNGGGGUGANGGCCUACCAAGGCGACGACGGGUAGCCGGCCU
Molecule: ribosomal RNA, 267 nt
Filed under: uncultured bacterium
Lineage: Bacteria
Description: partial 16S ribosomal RNA
Rfam family: Bacterial small subunit ribosomal RNA
Source: RNAcentral